RNAcentral lists this non-coding RNA (30 nucleotides) under Rattus norvegicus (Norway rat). Lineage: Eukaryota; Metazoa; Chordata; Mammalia; Rodentia; Muridae. The record is from RNAcentral.
UUAAUUUCCUGAAAUUGUUCAUGCUUUGUG